RNAcentral lists this ribosomal RNA (301 nucleotides) under uncultured bacterium. RNAcentral's name for it is "partial 16S ribosomal RNA". It matches the Rfam family "Bacterial small subunit ribosomal RNA", at positions 509 to 809 of the family's 1533-position model. The record is from RNAcentral.
CAGUCGCCGCGGGAAUACGUAGGGUGCAAGCGUUGUCCGGAAUUAUUGGGCGUAAAGAGCUCGUAGGCGGUUUGUCGCGUCUGCUGUGAAAUCCCGAGGCUCAACCUCGGGCUUGCAGUGGGUACGGGCAGACUAGAGUGCGGUAGGGGAGAUUGGAAUUCCUGGUGUAGCGGUGGAAUGCGCAGAUAUCAGGAGGAACACCGAUGGCGAAGGCAGAUCUCUGGGCCGUAACUGACGCUGAGGAGCGAAAGCGUGGGGAGCGAACAGGAUUAGAUACCCCUGUAGUCCCUGUCUCUUAUAA